This 520-nucleotide ribosomal RNA is filed under the name uncultured Glomus. RNAcentral's name for it is "SSU rRNA". It matches the Rfam family "Eukaryotic small subunit ribosomal RNA", at positions 569 to 1091 of the family's 1831-position model. Lineage: Eukaryota; Fungi; Glomeromycota; Glomeromycetes; Glomerales; Glomeraceae. The record is from RNAcentral.
AGCAGCCGCGGUAAUUCCAGCUCCAAUAGCGUAUAUUAAAGUUGUUGCAGUUAAAAAGCUCGUAGUUGAAUUUCGGGGUCAGUAGGUUGGUCGUGCCUCUGGUAUGUACUGGCUUUACUGAUUCCUCCUUCUUGAAGAACUGUAAUGUCAUUAAUUUGGUGUUGCAGGGAAACAGGACUGUUACUUUGAAAAAAUUAGAGUGUUUAAAGCAGGCUAACGCUUGAAUACAUUAGCAUGGAAUAAUGAAAUAGGACGUUUGAUCCUAUUUUGUUGGUUUCUAGGAUCGACGUAAUGAUUAAUAGGGAUAGUUGGGGGCAUUAGUAUUCAAUUGUCAGAGGUGAAAUUCUUGGAUUCAUUGAAGACUAACUACUGCGAAAGCAUUUGCCAAGGAUGUUUUCAUUAAUCAAGAACGAAAGUUAGGGGAUCGAAGACGAUCAGAUACCGUCGUAGUCUUAACCAUAAACUAUGCCGACUAGGGAUCGGAUGAUGUUAAUUUUUAAUGACUCAUUCGGCGCCUUAA